CGCCUUGCCAGCCCGCUACAGAACUUAAAUGAAUUGACGGGGCCCGCACAAGCGGUGGAGCAUGUGGUUUAAUUCGACGCAACGCGAAGAACCUUACCAGGGCUUGACAUCCCCUGACCGCGUAUGAAAGUACGUUUUCACCCUCGGGUGACAGGGAGACAGGUGGUGCAUGGUUGUCGUCAGCUCGUGUCGUGAGAUGUUGGGUUAAGUCCCGCAACGAGCGCAACCCCUACGUUUAGUUGCUAACAGGUGAAGCUGAGCACUCUAGACGAACUGCCGUUGACAAAACGGAGGAAGGUGGGGAUGACGUCAAAUCAUCAUGCCCCUUAUGUUCUGGGCUACACACGUGCUACAAUGGCCGGUACAGACGGAGGCGAAGCCGCGAGGCGGAGCAAAUCCGAAAAAGCCGGUCUCAGUUCGGAUUGCAGGCUGCAAUUCGCCUGCAUGAAGUCGGAAUCGCUAGUAAUCGCAGGUCAGCAUACUGCGGUGAAUACGUUCCCGGGCCUU
This 507-nucleotide ribosomal RNA is filed under the name uncultured Pelotomaculum sp. RNAcentral's name for it is "bacterial SSU rRNA". It matches the Rfam family "Bacterial small subunit ribosomal RNA", at positions 903 to 1382 of the family's 1533-position model. The record is from RNAcentral. Lineage: Bacteria; Bacillati; Bacillota; Clostridia; Eubacteriales; Desulfotomaculaceae.